AAACAAGGAGGUGGUUUUAAUGUUAUGGCUGAUGGGUGUAUAUGCAUUUAUAUUACAGCAAGAAGGUCCUGGGUUCGAUCUCCCGGCCGGACGACCAGGUUUCUUUCUGUGUGGAGUUUCCAUGUUCUAUUUCUGUCCGUGUGGGUUUCCUCCAGGAGCUCCGGUUUCCUCCCACAGUCCAAAGACGUGCAGUCAGGUUAAAUGGAGAUACUAAGUGUGUGUGUGCGCGCCCUGUGAUGGACUUCUGAUUAUUUUACUACUGUACACUGCUGCUGUUUCUAAUCGAUGAGCUAUAAAGACGCAUUAAUAUGAUUCUGAGUUCAGGUUUAGAUCCUAAAAGGACUCUUGGCUGCACGUCAGUUAACGACGGUCGGUCAUCAGGUAAAACAAACGGGCAGAAUUCACUUCCAAGGAUCAUCCGUCAGUUCCUCCGAGAACGUAAAGCACGGCCCCCUCUGUUACUAGUUAAUCUUUGACUUGUUAGAGUAAAUAGAUCGUUUGACGUCUUUAUAACUGUAGGACUCGUGAGUGCGUGUGUUCGGCUCUGACGUUUCCGCUCGGCCGGAUGGAAUCACUCCUGCGGUACUUUCAUCUGUCAGCGGCUUAAACAGCUCUAUUGGUGAAUUGUGUUCGGCCUCGCUGGUGUGUCGAUUCGGAUGAAAUUGAUGGCGCGGUCCUGCAGUCUGGCAGCAAAACAGGCCGCGUAUCAUCGAGGGUUUUAUCCUGGUACAUCCGCAGCUCAUUUCUACACAGCACUGGCUCAAUGUAAUACACUUGUAACCUAGUGGUUAAGGAACUGGACUAGUAAUCAAAAGGUUCAAGGUCCAUCACUGCCAGGUUGCCACUGUUGUGCCUGUUGUGCAAGACGCUUAACCCUCAAUUGCUUAGACUGUAUACUGUCACAGUAUAAAACUUAUGGUCUACAACGCCGUCGUCGCACCCACUCUUCUGUAUGGAUGUGAAACCUGGACCCUCUACCGAGCAGAUCGGAAGAAGCUGGAGCAGUUCCCAUCCUCAGCAUCAACUGGGAUGAUUAUGUGACCAAUAAUUCUGCGCUGGAAAGAGCUUCUUCUGUCAGCAUUGAAGCAUCCGUCAUGAAACAUCAACUCCACUGAGAUCGACUCCCAACGACGGAUCCUGUUUGGUGAACUCGCAUCGGGGAAGCGACCCCUCGGUGCCCCACUGAAACGCUACAGAGAUCAAUUAAAGCGGACCCUAAAAUCCACAGGCAUCCACCCCAAGACCUGGGAAGCAUCGACUCAAGAAAGACUUCUGUGGAGAAGAGCGGUCAAACAAGGAAUUACAUAUUAAAUACGUAUAAAAACAGCUAAGUACAAGAUAACGUAAUAAAUGCUCAACAUAUUCACUCAGUAAUUAAAUUUAUUAUGCACAACCUUGACUGUACCAGUUGAACUGCUAAGAAAGCACAAAACUGAAAAAUAACUGGUCGCAGAUGGUUAUUUAAAAAUGAUUGGCUUCCCUAGAUGUAUGAAAAACGCUCUAAAAUCACUAAACGCAUGUAUAAACUAGGGCUGCAACGAUUAGUCGACGUAGUCGAUAACGUCGACUGUAAAAAUUUGUCGAUGUGGAAUUUCAUUGUCGACUAGUCGUUAUUGAUGCAAUGCACUAAAGGGACUGCAGGGGGCGCAGCAUCGCUUGGCGCAGCGGGGAGUUUAUGAAGACAGAGAGGCAAAGAUAAAGAGACCGAAACUUUCUAAAGUAUUUCAGCCAAAAUAACCCAAAGAAACGAGCUGGACGCCGACGCUACAGAGCAGAGUCGUGGUUUUACGCCAGCACUACGGUGAAACGCGAGCACCCUGCAGCCGUGGUGACCUGCGUUAUUCAGCACUAAGCAGUGGAGUGUGGAUGAGAAGAAGUUCAUGCACCCCUCAGAUGGCUGAGAUCCUCACAGACAGCAUUCACAUGUUUCUCAACCACAUGUUAUAAAUGUUGUUGACUUCCAGAGUGAUAACUUCUGAAACAUAACAGUUUCUAAUGCCGUCCAAAGCUUUCUUAUUUAAUAGAAUUUUUUUAUUGUAAUUGUGUAUUAAUGUUUCAAAUAUAUUUAAUUAAACUAUCAAGCUUAAGUUUCAUA
Molecule: long non-coding RNA, 2095 nt
Organism: Trichomycterus rosablanca
Lineage: Eukaryota; Metazoa; Chordata; Actinopteri; Siluriformes; Trichomycteridae
Exons: 2
Source: RefSeq, a predicted model, not a curated record